This 497-nucleotide ribosomal RNA is filed under the name uncultured bacterium. Its description in RNAcentral is "partial 16S ribosomal RNA". It matches the Rfam family "Bacterial small subunit ribosomal RNA", at positions 28 to 507 of the family's 1533-position model. The record is from RNAcentral.
GAUGAACGCUGGCGGCGUGCCUAAUACAUGCCAGUCGAGCGAACAGACGAGGAGCUUGCUCCUCUGACGUUAGCGGCGGACGGGUGAGUAACACGUGGAUAACCUACCUAUAAGACUGGGAUAACUUCGGGAAACCGGAGCUAAUACCGGAUAAUAUAUUGAACCGCAUGGUUCAAUAGUGAAAGACGGUUUUGCUGUCACUUAUAGAUGGAUCCGCGCCGCAUUAGCUAGUUGGUAAGGUAACGGCUUACCAAGGCAACGAUGCGUAGCCGACCUGAGAGGGUGAUCGGCCACACUGGAACUGAGACACGGUCCAGACUCCUACGGGAGGCAGCAGUAGGGAAUCUUCCGCAAUGGGCGAAAGCCUGACGGAGCAACGCCGCGUGAGUGAUGAAGGUCUUCGGAUCGUAAAACUCUGUUAUUAGGGAAGAACAAAUGUGUAAGUAACUAGGCACGUCUUGACGGUACCGAAUCAGAAAGCCACGGCUAACUACGUG